GAUGAAGAACGUAGCGAAAUGCGAUAAGUAGUGUGAAUUGCAGAAUUCAGUGAAUCAUCGAAUCUUUGAACACACAUUGCGCCCCUUGGUAUUCCAUGGGGCAUGCCUGUUCGAGCGUCAUUUGUACCUUCAAGCUUUGCUUGGUGUUGGGUGUUUGUCCAUUCUCUUGCAGAGGGACUCGCCUUAAAGUAAUUGGCAGCCAGUGUUUUGGUUUUGAAGCGCAGCACAAGUCGCGAUUCAAAGCUAUACGCCCGCUUCCACAAGCCUUUUUCACUUUUGACCUCGGAUCAGGUAGGGAUACCCGCUGAACUUAAGCAUAUCAAUAAGCGGAGGA
Molecule: unclassified non-coding RNA, 334 nt
Filed under: soil metagenome
Description: partial contains 5.8S ribosomal RNA, internal transcribed spacer 2, and large subunit ribosomal RNA
Rfam family: 5.8S ribosomal RNA (bases 1-120)
Source: RNAcentral